UCGAGAAUCUUCGGCAAUGGGCGCAAGCCUGACCGAGCGACGCCGCGUGGAGGACGAAGGCCUUCGGGUUGUAAACUCCUGUCGAGGGGGAGGAAGGCGCCGUGCAGAGCGGCGCUUGACCGAUCCCUGGAGGAAGCACGGGCUAAGUUCGUGCCAGCAGCCGCGGUAAGACGAACCGUGCGAACGUUAUUCGGAAUCACUGGGCUUAAAGCGCGUGUAGGCGGGCCGCCACGUCGGGCGCUGAAAUCCCCCGGCUCAACCGGGGAACGGGCACCGAUACGAGCGGCCUGGAGGGGAGUAGGGGGACCUGGAACUUCCGGUGGAGCGGUGAAAUGCGUUGAGAUCGGAAGGAACGCCCGUGGCGAAAGCGAGGUCCUGGGCUCCUGCUGACGCUGAGACGCGAAAGCCAGGGGAGCGAACGGGAUUAGAUACCCGUGUAGUCC
RNAcentral lists this ribosomal RNA (443 nucleotides) under uncultured bacterium. Its description in RNAcentral is "bacterial SSU rRNA". It matches the Rfam family "Bacterial small subunit ribosomal RNA", at positions 355 to 796 of the family's 1533-position model. The record is from RNAcentral.